Molecule: long non-coding RNA, 447 nt
Filed under: Cricetulus griseus (Chinese hamster)
Lineage: Eukaryota; Metazoa; Chordata; Mammalia; Rodentia; Cricetidae
Description: lncRNA (ENSCGRG00015032881.1)
Source: RNAcentral
CUAAGACCAAACUACAACCAUCCAACAUGCAAGUCUUCAUGAGAGGAAAGGUCUUUUCUCUCUCCAGCCUGUAUCCCGAACAGCACUUCCACAGUGGGCACAUGGGCCAGAGGAAGCUUAUAUCACAUAUCCAUGGAAAAAGAUCCUGAGUGCCCUGGAGACUUAUUUUCUUCCAGCUCUCGAAAGAGGGAAUGCAGAGGCAUGUCGGUGGUGAGGACUGAACACAGGGGCUUUGUACAGAGUAAGGACAUGCUCUACAACUGAGAUGCAUCUCCAACCCUUUUUUUCCUUCUUCUGUGGUGCCGACGAGGAUCAAAUUCAGAAUCGUGUGCUGUUUGUGCAGGCUCUGACACUGAGCUAAAUCCCUAAACUCUCCCUAGCCUAAAGAAGAAAUAUUAAAACUUCUGUUCACUCUGUAAAAUGUUAUUAGAGAAUUAAAUUUCAAAG